RNAcentral lists this long non-coding RNA (286 nucleotides) under Mytilus galloprovincialis (Mediterranean mussel). Lineage: Eukaryota; Metazoa; Mollusca; Bivalvia; Mytilida; Mytilidae. The record is from RNAcentral.
UACAAAGUAUCAACAUAUAAGCUGCGUCGAAUAGAAAUCGACCUUAUGCAAAUCAACACCAAUACAUCUUUUAACCAAUUUCAGUUUUAAAAAAAAAUCAACAGAAAGUAUGGGAUUUUUUGUAAGUUGCAUUAUUAAUUUAAUGCUAUAAAACAGACCAAACUUCAUCUUUCUCUCAUAGUAUUUUGUAUUUGAACGUUCAAAAAAUCAAUCAGAGUCUAAUACAUGUACAUAUUUACGUACACUUGCAUAAGGUCGAUUUCUAUCCGACGCAGCUCAUAUGAUG